GAUGAACGCUAGCGGCAGGCCUAACACAUGCAAGUCGAGGGAGAGGUUACCUUCGGGUAACCAAGACCGGCGCACGGGUGCGUAACGCGUAUACAAUCUGCCUUUCACAUAGGGAUAGCCCGAAGAAAUUUGGAUUAAUACCUAAUGGUAUAUAGGAGCGGCAUCGUUUUUAUAUUAAAGCUACGGUGGUGAAAGAUGAGUAUGCGUUCUAUUAGCUAGUUGGAGAGGUAACGGCUCCCCAAGGCGACGAUAGAUAGGGGUUCUGAGAGGGAUGUCCCCCACACUGGUACUGAGAUACGGACCAGACUCCUACGGGAGGCAGCAGUGAGGAAUAUUGGACAAUGGUCGGAAGACUGAUCCAGCCAUGCCGCGUGCAGGAUGAAGGUCCUAUGGAUUGUAAACUGCUUUUGUAAGGGAAGAAUAAGGAGUACGUGUACUUUGAUGACGGUACCUUACGAAUAAGCAUCGGCUAACUCCGUGCCAGCAGCCGCGGUAAUACGGAGGAUGCGAGCGUUAUCCGGAAUCAUUGGGUUUAAAGGGUCCGUAGGCGGGCUGAUAAGUCAGAGGUGAAAGCGCUUAGCUCAACUAAGCAACUGCCUUUGAAACUGUCGGUCUUGAACGAUUGUGAAGUAGUUGGAAUGUGUAGUGUAGCGGUGAAAUGCUUAGAUAUUACACAGAACACCGAUAGCGAAGGCAUAUUACUAACAAUUUAUUGACGCUGAUGGACGAAAGCGUGGGGAGCGAACAGG
RNAcentral lists this ribosomal RNA (749 nucleotides) under uncultured Capnocytophaga sp. RNAcentral describes it as "bacterial SSU rRNA". It matches the Rfam family "Bacterial small subunit ribosomal RNA", at positions 28 to 776 of the family's 1533-position model. The record is from RNAcentral. Lineage: Bacteria; Pseudomonadati; Bacteroidota; Flavobacteriia; Flavobacteriales; Flavobacteriaceae.